UAAAUUUCCUUAAACUAUGUAAUAAGGUAAGAUGAAAAUGUAAACAAAUUUAAUGUAUACAAUCAUACUGAAUAAUGCAGACGUUCUAGGAAAUUGUUUAUAAGAAUGAAUGUAAAUCGAGGAUAAAAGUGCUCAUUCCUGAUUUUCUUAAAAAAUCCCGCCUGUUGAUUCUUUUCUCUAAUUCAUAGUCAAUAGAUGGCGCAGUUUAUUGUUGAUUUCGUUCAAAAUGGCGGCCUGUAAUGGGCACUGUGGGGUAAUAUUGUUCGAUUCCCCGCGAUAAAUGAGACCAUGCAGAGUUAACUCGCCUUGGUGUAUGUGCGAGUACUGAGUCUAGAUUGUAUCCGGAAUGUACACUUUUCUUCGAAUGGUUAAAUCAUGUAAGCGCAAUCAUAGUGCCAGCCGAUCGUGUGUCGUGCAUUGGCUAAGUUUGUGUAGCCAUAUUUAUUGUGUUAUUCGGCAAGACGUUAUAUCUUAUACACCGGCAAAUGUAAUUGGUAAUGAAGACAUAUGGUUUUAUUAUUAAAGGACCUUAGGACAAUAGGACAUGAAAAGACGCUACACUGAGUUCUCUUCAAUUCUUCAAAAACGGCGCACAUUGAUUGUUUCUUUUUCAAACUACAAUUACUUUCUCUCUCUCUUUUUACAAUUUCCAAACGGUGCAAGUUGUGCAAUAUCUUAAAAUUUAUUUGUGGUAUCCUUGUUAUCCUUAGCACACAUUGUGUUGUGUGAUGCAUUAAGGAUUUUACGAAAAAAAAAAAGAUGGGGCAACUAUUAUAUCACAUUAUCAGUCCUAAUUAUUGGAUAAAGGUUUAUAAACCAUAUACACAGUGAAAGAGAUUUUAUUAAUUUUUUCUAUUUGUAUAUAAGAAAUGGAUAUACAAAAGUUUCAACAAAAAGUUGUGUUAUGAAUAUCAGAAACUAUAUAUAUAACAUUUAUAUAUAUAUAUAAGAGUCUGCUGUACAUAAAUCAAACAAGCUAGGCACUAUCGUGCCAAGCUUGGGUAAUGGAUCCUGUUCGUCCAUGGUAUGCAACAUAUAAUCGUCUUGCUGCAAGUAGUGCAAAUAGUACAUUUCAACCAACAACUUCAAGCACAAACAGUGAUUUUGUAUCUCAUCACUUAGCAACAGCUGCUACUCAAGCAGUUCCUUCAACAACAUCACAAUUACUUUUACAAGCAGCUCAUACAACUGCAACUCUGGCGGGACAACCAUCUCCAUUCAACCCAGGGGGGUUUUUGUCUCCACCCCCUGUGGGAUAUGAUGUUUUCACACCUUUAUUUCAUCAUCCUAAUCCUAAACAAGCACAUUAUGUUACUCAACAUAGGCAAGCUCUUGCUCAAGCACAAGUGUCAGUAACAAAACAAAAUGCUACAACAGAAUCUGACAUUCCUGUACUAAGAGAAAAUUAUAGUUCAGCACAUCAGUCAACAUUUUUUGAACAUCAAGGUGCGGCAACAUCGCCUACAACAUCUACAUUGGCUUGGACUCAUCAGAACAAUGCACAAUUACCUAGUCCAUUUGGUAUUCUGCCUCAUGAAAGUGUUGUUCCUUCAUCCCCAGGACCAUCAUCUACUACAAAACCAACUAGUGGUGUUUAUGAAAAUACAUUUAAUUCUAAUUUUGCUACAACACAAACUAUAAAUAAUUUAAACUCUCAAUUAACUACACCUUCGGUUUCUGCUGCUGAAUUUAAAUCAUCCAAUUUCCCAGAUAAUAAAAAGACAGUAAAUAUAAGGCCUCAAUCACCAACAGUAAGUGUUAAAUCAGUUUCUACAUCACAAACAAAUAGCAAUCAAAAUUUUUUUCAACCAGUAUCUACUACAUUCAAUUCUGAAACAUUAGCAAAUAAUUACUCUACUGGUAAUGGAAAUCAAACUUCAAAUGGGAAAAUACAAUCUUCUCUUCAACAUCACCAAUCAUGUAUUGUUUCAACUACAAAUAAUACAAAUAAUACAGCCAAUAAAGAAUAUAGAAUUCCUCAACCACCUGCUAGAUCAAUUGCAUCAACAACUAUAUUUUUAAAUACAUCUAUUAGAUCUGUAUCUUCUCAAAUUCAAGAUAAACAAUCGGCUAGAAAUUUCGCUUCACCUCCCCAUAAAACAACUUCUACAUCUCAACAAAAUAUUCAAACUAAAGCACAGACAAAAAUAUAUCCAGAAUUAAAUACACACAGCAGUGAACAUAGACGAAACGAACAAACAUCUCAUGAUAAUAGCCAAUCAUCUCCUAUUAGUUUUUCCAUUAUGGAUUCACGUAAUUUGAAUUAUACUACUGGAAAUAAUACAAAUUGUACAAAUACUAGUGGAAAACUUAAUAAUAAUCAAAGAAGUCAAUCAAACAGUAACUUACAAACUCAUUCUCAGCAACCACAACAGCAGCAGCAGCAACAACAAUUUCAUGUUUUAAAUCAACAACAGCAACAACAACAAACAUCAUAUAGACAUUAUCUAACAGGAUCUACAACUGAUUCUGAAUAUCAUCAUUCAGCAAGAUCAAAAUCUGCAACUUCCACUGAUUCUGCUUAUUCUUCUAACAAUUCCACACAAAAUGGACCUGAUUGUAGUGUUGUUGUGCCAAGAAGACCAAGUCCAUUACAAGCACAUUCACAAGCAAGUCCAUUGGGACAUGUUCCAAGUCCUGCUUAUCCUAUGUAUAAUAGUCCAAUGGCUACUAUGUCUUCUCCUUCACCUUUACAACAACAUACAGAAAAUGCAAAUCAAUGUGCAAGUGGAUCAUCAUAUAAAGGAACUGUGCAACAACAAGUUACACCACCAUCACCAUUAGAUGUUACUGUACCACGACCAGCAUCACAAGGUCAAGUUGCUUAUUCAUCAGUCAUUACAAGAGCUUUAGGUACUACUGAAAAUAAAACUAAUUAUAAUACAGAUAGUAAAACUUAUGAUAGACAGCAACAAGAUUUUUCACAAACUCAAAAACAAGUUUGUUGGGAAAAUGAUAAUCGACAGUCAAAUAAUAGAAAAUUUUCUAUUACUCUAUAUACUGGUGGAAAUUCUGAAGUAAAUCCUCAAACUUUACCAAUUCAACAACAAGUACAACGAGUGCUUAAUGUAUCUGAUAGACAACAAUCAUAUUUUGAAUCCAGCCAAGUGACACUACAAGAUUUAAGUAGUUGUAGAGGAGAUCCUAUGAGUAUAGUAAAAAAUUUACAGACUUUACAAGGUUCAUGUCAAGUACAACAACAAACUACUGUUUCUGUUGCUCCAACUGAACAACAAAAGCAAAUAGAAGAACGACGUAAAGCAGAUACAAAUAAAAAAAGAAAAAGUUUAGAAAAAAGUGGACAUAAUUCUUUAAAUGAAAUAAGUGGAACAACGACAAUGACAGAAUACUUAAAUAGAAUACCACCCCCUGCACAUCAUAAUACAAAUCAACAGCAACAAAAUGGUUAUUUUGAUUUUGAAAGAUGGAAUUUACCUCCACCUCCUGCUAAAAUGUUUCCUACUGCAUCAGGUGCUUUCAGUUCACAAUCAACCUUACAUUCAAAUAAUUUUGUUGGUUCUCCAGCUCAUCAACAUCAAUCUUUGAUGGUACCUCAUCAUCAUGCUCCACCUCCUAUUCCAUAUUUUCCAGCCUUUCAUAUUCCUUCAAGUCAUCAUCAUUCACAUGAAUUUCAAUCUUCUGUUGAAAUUACACCUAUAGGUUUUGGUGAAAAUUCAACAAAUCAAAAUCCUAAUUAUAAUCAAGAUAUCAGAGAUGAUCAACCUAAAGUAAUUGUUCCUAAUAUUGAAGAAGAAUUAGGUUUCCUACAACAAAAUCAGCAAUUGAUUCAAACUGUUAGCAUCUUAAAUAAAGAUUUCAAACGAUCUAAUAAAGAUCCUAAUUCAGGAUUUAUGACAAGUUAUUUAAAAUUUUUACAAGGUGAAAGAGAACCUUCACCUCCUCCAGCAAUACGUGGUGGAAGAAAAGCAACUUGGAAUAGAUCAAAACCUUAUAUUCCUGUAGAACCUAAAAAAUCUGUAGAAAGUUUAGUAAAUGGAGAAAUAAUGAAAACACAAAUAGAAAAACCACCUCAACCUAAAGAAACACCAGUGAUUGAUUAUACUAAUGAUCCACGAUAUUUUCCUUUACCUAAAGAACGAAAAAAACAGAAUUUUGAUUCAAGUGAUGAUGGUUUUACUAGUGAUGAUGAUUUUCUAUUUCCUCCUAAAAAAUCGGAUAAGAAAAUAACAAAUACAAAUACUUCCAAUAUAAUGGAAGUAACAGUAAAAUCAGAAGGUAAAUCUAAAAAAGGAAGACCAAUAAAACCUGGAGGACCAACAGAUAGAAAAAGAAAAGCUGCAGCGGCAGCUGCUGCAGCAGCAGAAGCAGCAAUGAUUACUACAAUUAAUAAAAUUUCUAAAAAAUAUGAAGAAGUAGAUCCUUUGCUUUUACCUCCAAGACGUGAAACAUCUAGAAGAAAAGCAAAAGAAAAAACCUCAGUAAAACAAUUUUUAGAUCGACAACAGGGUAUAGAUUAUUUUGAUAAUGAUGAAGAACAGGGUGAUUCUGAUUCUGAUCCUGCUUGGACACCUGCUGUAAAAUUAGUUGGAGAUGAAGAAGAAAAGAAAAAGAAACGUGGAAGACCUGUUAUUACUAAAAAAAGUAGAAAAAUUUUAGAAGAAGAAGAUUAUUCUUCUAGUGAUGUUGUUGUUUCAAAGAAAUCAAGUAGAAAAAAACAUGAAACACCAUCAAAAACUUCUAAUGUUACUGGAAAGUUAUCUUGUAAAAUAGAUGAGAAACUUUUAGCAUCUAUCAGUGAUGAAGAUAUUGAUAUUUCACCAUUUAAGCAUUUUGUGGAUGAAUUAGAUGAUGUGUCUGGGGAAUUUGUUGUAAUCAAGACAGAUUUAAAUGAAGAAUAUCCUCCUCUUUGGAGAAUAGAUGGUAAAACAUUAUUACAAAAAUAUGAACCAUUUAAAUCUAAUGGCAAAACUUUAUAUCGAAACAUAUCUACGUAUUCGGGUUGGGCACCACAAAAUCGACAUAUAUAUCAACAAGUUCCAGUAAAAUUCUUACAACAAGGUAAAGCAGAAACAAUAGUAGAGUUUUUAAGAGAUGAAAUGAUUAUUGAUAAUAACGAAUGUAUUGAUAAAUCUAUGAAGGAUACUGAAAAAUAUCAAGAUAAUUUUGAAGUAUAUAUUCAAACAUUGAUAUCACAAGCUUUGGAUUCUAAUUUUCUAACAGAAAUAUUUCAAGAACAAGAUGAUUAUUUCUUAUCAAACGUAAAAACUGUGGAUGAAGUAACGGAAGAAAGGAAACAACGGCUUUUAUCUACAACGAAAUGGCGAUCAAAUGUUAUAAAUGCAAUAUCAACUUGGCCAUGUCUUAAUGUUCUUAAAGAUAUACCAUUUACAGAAUAUAAAGGAAAGUCAUGUGCUGGAUGCCAACAGUUUAAAAUUCAUGCUAGAGUUCUAUUGUAUGGUCAACCAUACAAUGCUACUACAUUAGAAGGUUCUCCACCUGAUCCAAGAAUACCUCAAGAAAAAGAUUUUUUAUUGUGUCGAAUAUGUCAAGCAAAAGUUGCUUUAUAUAAUAAGGUUGCACAUCAGAAAUAUUUAAUGUUUUUGGAAUGUGCAAGAAGAGUUGCAGAUAAGAGAGUAGCAGAUCCUCAUAAAGAUACCACAAUAAUAUUGAAUGAAUUAUUAGCUGAUGAAACAUGGUUAAAUCAAUUAUUUAAAGAAGUUAGAACAAUCUGGGCAGAAAUAGAUAAUUUGGAAUAUCAAGCAAAAACAAAAUCAAGUUUAAAAUCAAUAUUUUCUUCUACAGCAAGUAGUACAGAAGAAAUGAAUGAAAAUAUUUCAAUAAAACAACCAAUUGAAAUGACUGCUAAUAUUUCGGAUUCACAGGUGCCUACACAGAAAACCGAAGAGACUUCUGAAAUAGUGUCUUGCGAUGUGCAAAUGAGCAGUAUACCAUCUUAGUGGUGCUACAAUAAUAGAAAUUGGCUUCGUUUUAUACAAUGCCUGAAGAGCAUUAAAGAUUUAGUGUGUAUUGACUUAAUAGACAUGAAGAAGAUCAAACAUUUAAAUAUUGUAUUUUGAUGAUAAAUAUUUAAAUUGAGUUAAUAUAAUAUGCUGUGAAACAAAUGGUGAAGAUAAACAUUAAUGUGUAAUCAAGAAAUUGUAGUUAUAGUGAUAACAAGUAGUGAAUGAUGAGUUCGCGUUUGUUGCCCGUGAAGGAUGCCUUCUGCCAACCCUAAACUAGAAAAACAGGCCUCUACGGAGACCGUAGAUCCUAUACGCCAAGCAAUUAUCGUUAUCGAACAUAAGAUA
Molecule: unclassified non-coding RNA, 6269 nt
Filed under: Apis dorsata (giant honeybee)
Lineage: Eukaryota; Metazoa; Arthropoda; Insecta; Hymenoptera; Apidae
Description: uncharacterized LOC102674704, transcript variant X2
Source: RNAcentral